GCCAAUACAAGGGGAUUUCAAAAAGUUCAUGGAAUCACAGCCAGUUAUAGAUUUCUUUGCUUCUUUUCCACUCCCACUGUUUCACUUGACCAGCCUAAA
Molecule: unclassified non-coding RNA, 99 nt
Organism: Macaca nemestrina (pig-tailed macaque)
Lineage: Eukaryota; Metazoa; Chordata; Mammalia; Primates; Cercopithecidae
Rfam family: Y RNA
About the family: Y RNAs are components of the Ro ribonucleoprotein particle (Ro RNP), in association with Ro60 and La proteins. The Y RNAs and Ro60 and La proteins are well conserved, but the function of the Ro RNP is not known.
Source: Ensembl